Molecule: small RNA, 127 nt
Filed under: Marmota monax (woodchuck)
Lineage: Eukaryota; Metazoa; Chordata; Mammalia; Rodentia; Sciuridae
Source: RNAcentral
GCUGGGAGCAGUAGCGCACGCCUGUGAUCCUAGCUGCUUGGGAGGCCGAGGCAGGAGGAUCAGGAGUUCGAAGCCAGCCUCCCCAACUUAGUGAGGCACUUAGCAACUCAGUGAGACCCUGGCUCUA